GCCGCCAAGGAGCGUUGCAGCGGGUGCCGCCGAUGGCCGUGUCCCGUCAGGCUUGGCGACCCGACCCGAUUCGCAACGACGCUCACCUAGA
Molecule: non-coding RNA, 91 nt
Filed under: Burkholderiales bacterium
Lineage: Bacteria; Pseudomonadati; Pseudomonadota; Betaproteobacteria; Burkholderiales
Description: SAH sequence
Rfam family: SAH (S-adenosyl-L-homocysteine) riboswitch aptamer
Source: RNAcentral